UACGUAGGUCCCGAGCGUUGUCCGGAUUUAUUGGGCGUAAAGCGAGCGCAGGUGGUUUAUUAAGUCUGGUGUAAAAGGCAGUGGCUCAACCAUUGUAUGCAUUGGAAACUGGUAGACUUGAGUGCAGGAGAGGAGAGUGGAAUUCAAUGUGUAGCGGUGAAAUGCGUAGAUAUAUGGAGGAACACCGGUGGCGAAAGCGGCUCUCUGGCCUGUAACUGACACUGAGGCUCGAAAGCGUGGGGAGCAAACAGG
This 252-nucleotide ribosomal RNA is filed under the name uncultured bacterium. RNAcentral's name for it is "partial 16S ribosomal RNA". It matches the Rfam family "Bacterial small subunit ribosomal RNA", at positions 524 to 776 of the family's 1533-position model. The record is from RNAcentral.